This 194-nucleotide ribosomal RNA is filed under the name uncultured bacterium. RNAcentral describes it as "partial 16S ribosomal RNA". It matches the Rfam family "Bacterial small subunit ribosomal RNA", at positions 1308 to 1500 of the family's 1533-position model. The record is from RNAcentral.
CAACUCGCCUGCACGAAGUCGGAAUUGCUAGUAAUCGUAGGUCAGCAUACUACGGUGAAUACGUUCCCGGGCCUUGUACACACCGCCCGUCAAACCAUGAGAGUUGGCAACACCCGAAGUCGGUAGUCUAACCGCAAGGAGGACGCCGCCGAAGGUGGGGGUUGAUGAUUAGGGUUAAGUCGUAACAAGGUAGC